Long non-coding RNA from Astyanax mexicanus (Mexican tetra), 544 nucleotides. RefSeq lists it as uncharacterized. NCBI's taxonomy places the organism in Eukaryota, Metazoa, Chordata, Actinopteri, Characiformes, Acestrorhamphidae. The record is from RefSeq and is a predicted model, not a curated record. The transcript is spliced from 3 exons.
CACAUUUAAGAUAUCAGCUUAUAAAGUAAUUUUUCCUUAACUGGUGACAUUUAGUUUAUUGUGGCUUUUAAAGCACUAAGGAAGUAAAUUAGUCUAAAGGUGUCUUGUAUGCUUUGCCACUGCACUACAGUAUAUUUAUAUAUGUAGAUAUAAAUCUAUAUAUUUUUUUAUUUGUUGUGUGAGCAGUAGAAGAAUCGGACAUCAUUGACCUGGAGAAGCGGUACUGGUUAUUAAAAGCUCAGUCAAGAACUGGACGCUUUGACUUGGAAACGCUUAUCCCAUUGGUAUCUCCUCCUAUUCACCCAUCUAUAAGCGAGGGUUUAUUCCAUGCUUUUGAUGAGAACAAAGACAAUCACAUAGACUUCAAAGAGAUCUCCUGUGGGUUGUCAGCAUGCUUGAAUUGAACCUGACAAUUGAAUUGAGUGACAGGACCAGGGCACGUCAGGGGGCCAAUCAGACUUCAGUGGCAUCCGCUGGCCUGGAUGUAAUCGAAAAGGUCCAAGCAGAGCAUUGGAGCAUAGGCUCCAUCACCGACACGACCUCG